UCGACAUCUAGCGUCGUCGUCGCAGUGUCUCCCCUCACUCACACAAACCGUGCAGCGGUCCGGUGUCAGAGGCAACACCACUGAUCUCCGUGCGGGACGCCGUUAAGAGCAGAUGGAGAUACUUCAAAAGCCCAUCUCGAGCAGAGAGGACACCGGACCGUUAAAAAAGCCUCUGGAAGACACGAAAGAGCACUGCAAAAGUGACGAUCACAGCGAAACGAAUUAUGUAGACCUGGGCAAUCCAUCGGACAUGAAGUCAGACAGCACAAAGACAGUAAAAGUCACAUUCACAGGCGAAGGGAACCAGCUGGCAAUAUUCAAAUGUAAAGGCGAUGCAUCCAUCUCCGGGAUUAAGAGUCCUGGGGCGCGAGAGGAGACUGGAAAUGCUGAUAAAAGUUCAUCGAAAGACUGUCACGCGGGGAAGUGCCAUUCCGAGGGACUUUAUGGAGAGCGCGCUCCGCUGAUAGAUGACUAUGUGGACGCGGGAACGGAUGCAAAAUCCGAAGAUGCAAAAUCUUCCUCGUAUGAAACGGAGGAGUUACAAUACACCGACAUGUAUUUGAACAGUCGCUGCGAACCCGAGGACAUCGCGAGCGCUGCGGACGUGGAGGCACACUAUAUAACGACGCACGAGAUUCAGCUGACGGAGUUGGAUCACGAUGUGGAUUUCGGGCUUGGACGCGGAUCCUGCUGGGAUUUCGAGGAUGAUAAUCUGGUGUAUUCAUUUGUUGACUACGCAUCAUUUGACAGCGACGAGACGACUCACGGAAGAAUCCAAAGCAAGUCCAAGAGCAAUAAAGUUCCUCUCGCUUCACGCGCAGCGAAGCUUUCCGCCGCGGGGGCUCUGGUCAGCACCGAAAGUGAACUUUGUGAAUCCGACAAAUGUGCCAGCUCGGAUGAGGGCGCCGGACAGCUUGGAAAUUCACCCGGACAUAUUCACCUGUCAAUCAAAACGUCUUCGCGCGCGGUCAACGAUCCCGGCAGUCUGUUAGGACACAGGAAUGUCCGCUUUCACACCAGACGUGCCGGUGAGCGGAGUCAUUAUUCGUUUAAAAGCGCUGACUCCAAAAGCGAGACCAUGUUUGACCGCUACUUCAUCCCUCCUCCGGGUCGCCAGCACCUCGCCAGCAAACUGAGGGGAAAAGACAUUAACGAAUAUUCCAGUGGCGCUUCCAGUUCCGUCAGCGAACUGGAUGAUGCUGAUAAAGAGGUGCGUAACCUCACCGCGCGCUCCUUCCGGAGUUUGGCUUGCCCUUACUUUGAUGCCAUCAAUUUGAGCAGCUCGAGUGAGUCCUCGGUGUCAGAACACGGACUGAGUUUUAACAAAUGGUCCGCGUUAGUCGACUUGAAUUAUGGCACUUUGACACGUGAGGCGCACAAGAACUCUACGCCUGUUAUGGAGGGAAAUAAUAGCACAGAAUCUACAAACAUUAAAGACAUGGUUCAAACUGAUACAACUAGCCCACAGACUAAAAUAGUGGCGCUGAAGAAUAAUUUGAACUCGCAGCAGGCGUCGAAGAAAAAAGAGUUACGAAGCAAACCGGGUGAAACUAUAACACUUACUGAAACCUUGAACUUUAAUUGUAACGUCGGUGCAGGGAUACCUGCGCGCGAGAGACGUGCGAAACGCGCUCUGAAUGCCACAUUGUCAAGUGCCACAGCCGACGUUACCGGAACCAUGCCAGCCAAGGAGGGGUGUGAAGUAGAAACUCCUAGCGGUAAGACCCCAGAAGAUGCCCACAAGAAAGCCAUCUUUGCCUCUAGUCUUUUGAAAAAUGUUAUUUCCAAGAAAAUGCAGUUCGAGCAAGAGCUUAAAAUGGAAAGAGGUGAAAUAAGCGACACAUAUCCCGUUCCACAAGUGUGCCCUCAUGCUAAGGAUUGCAAAGAGACUGUGAAAAGCUUGGAAAGACAGAUUUCAGAACACUCUCAAGAGGAGAUUGAUGAUGCAACAGACCAGCCGCUAGAGAAUCUGUGUUCCCAUGCUGCUGAGUCACCCUGUGACCCAGAAAUGACCUCUAAAUUAGACUCAAGCGGACUACUAAAGACUCCUUUGACCCCCAGCCAAAAGAGUGCUUUUAAGACCUGGAAAGAUGGAGAGCAGGAAGCAGAAGAUGAUGGAGAAUCUCAGCACGCACUGGAGGAGGAGUCGCCACUGUCAGACACCUCAAUUAGACCUGUGAUGGAAAGCAGUGAAAGUGUUGAGGGCGAGGGUAGUAAGAUGAUUAAGAUGUCUCACUUGUAUGUCCCUAGCUCGCAGCUUAUGCCUAAGGAAAAGGAAGCUGUCGGGCUUUCAUUACAUAAUCUGAAAGGGACUGGAGAGCUUGCAGAGUCAGAUGGGGGAGGGUGCAGAAAACUGAGCUCUGACCAGCUCCGUAGCCCUGCGGACACAAACCAAACCUCACCGUGUCAAAAAGCCCCCGAAAUCAAAAUACACCUGCGAAGUGUUAAAGAAAACAAAAACAAUCAGUUCAAUAUCACCAAUCUCUUAAGGCCCAAUAUCAAUCAUAACACCAACACUAAAAAGGCGAUGAGAGAAUCUAAAAGCCAUUUAUUGACCAUAUCAGAAAAAGUGCCACAUUUUAUGGUAAGGGAUAUUAGAGAUAAUAAAUGUAAGUUCCAGACACCUAUUCAUCAGGUUCGAGAUGUGCGCAAAUUGGUAAAAAGCUCAUAUCGGUUUGUAGCGCUAGAAAAUCCUUCCAGUUCAUCAGGGAUGACAUCCACAGCAUUACGAGAGGAGAGCAAACCUGUUAAUAGGGGACCUGACAAGAAACCAUUUCCUACACCAAUGGUAAUAAAAUGCCAGUCUGUGAACACAAAUAAUGCUGCAAAACCCUCCGAGCCUGUUAAUACGGGCGAGAAUGUCGGUGAAAUGGUGAGAUUAUCACCAAAUCUCUCAGAGUGGGCUACUAAAAGUGAAACCUUGCGCACUGGACCCAGAGUGCCUUGUGCUAAGCAACCUGUGAAUGAACAACCAGAGCUUAGCUUAAAAAUCGACGCUAAAGCAUCAAAACAAAAACCAGAAAAAGCAACAGAAGGCAGCGAGAAGAAGCCCGAGUCUAAGGUUUCGAAUCAAAUAGCUCUUGAAAAGUUGAAGGCAGCUGUGAAAACUAUGGAGCAACUGUACUUUUUUGAUAGGAACGAAUGGAAGCGCAAAACGCAAGCUCCACGACCAAUCACGGACAGUCACGUGCUGUCACUCAUCACGCGAGAGGAGCAAGGAGUCACAAUCAAAACGGACUUUGAGAAUGAAUAUGGGAAAGCGGACACUAGCUCACAGUUGCACAUUGAAAACUCAACCGCGACAACGUUUUCUGGUGUUGACAAGGAUAAAGCAUGUAUGCCAACAGGUUCUCACGGCCAGGAAGACACGGCUAAGUUUGUAACCCAAAGGGCAGAUUCUUUCAGUGACAAGUGUGUUUUUAGUCUGGGCAGUAGCCUCAAAGCACCUCCACAUAUAAAUACAACAAAUGACAGCACUCCGCAAAUGUUUUCAAGCAGAAACUGCAUCCUCUCCACACAAUCUCACCAAGCUCCUUUGUCACUGAAAAUCUGUCCUUCUAAAUCGAAAAGUGAGGAAAAGCACCAGAAAGAGCACCAGCAGACAGAUUCUGACAAUUACCUAACAAUCCCUGUCAAAGCUCACGCUUCCGAACUGAAACCCUCACAAGCAUCACACCCAAAGCCUUCCCAUCAGCCCUUGCAACGCUCGCCCAUCGUAAUGGAGUCUUGGUCUCCUGAUAGUCAGACGGCCAUGAUAUAUCACCACGCCAUGCACCUGCCGGCCGUACCUGCUGCUCAACCCCAGCUACUCUGCCUUACCCCCCCAGCGGACCUCCCACCACCUCACAUCCAGCGCAAGCUCCUGCUGGACCCCUCCACAGGCCAGUACUACUUAGUGGACACCCCUGUGCCCAUGCAGCCAGCCGCCCAACGCUUUUACCAUCCUGAGACUGGUCAGUACUUGGACAUUCCUUUAUCACUCACCCCAGUGCCUGUGUCCGUUUCGCCGGUCGCCCUCGGACCUGCGGCAGCCUAUCCCCCAACCUACUUGGUCUACCCCUCGACCCUGCUUCCACCCCAUCCGCACCCGGUCCCCCAGUCCCAGUCUUCCACCUGCUCGGAGGGAGAAGACACGGUCGAGACGGGAGGCAUGUAUCUGAUCCCCCAGGGCACCGCAGUUCCCAGCAGCACCACUAAACCUGUCAUCAGUAUUACAUCCCAGCAAGGUGCUCGUAUUGUUGCUCCUCCCUCCUUUGACGGCACAACCAUGAGCUUUGUGGUGGAGCAUCGAUAACAGAAGUCCUCAGGGCCAAAAAUAUGCACAGUUAAAGAAACACCCAAAUAAGAUGGUCCGUGUCUGUCUGUUGGAGUCAGUCCUCCCACUUCAUAAAAAAAAAUUCCCACAUCUGUCUUCAUCAAUUCCUACCCGGUGUUGCCUCUUGAUCUCUGACUUUUACAAUGUUGAAAAGCUAAAGAUGAAAGCAGCUUUACAAACUUUGUGCAACACAUAUGUAGCAUGUAGACUUUUUGAGGCAACUAUCUUUUUGGCCAUCCAGCACUGCAUAGUUAAGGGGAAAUGUUUCUUGUUCAAGUUUUCAUUUUGUUGUAUAAAGUGCUUGUAUUUUUACAUUUUUAUGGACUCCUUUAUACCUGUAGGUAGCAAGUUCUGAUUGAGUAAAGCAUGGCUUGUGUGAAAGAGAGAGAAAUAGAGAAAGAGAUCGAGAAAGAGAAACAUUUUGUGUGGUGCCCAUGUUGUGUGUGUGAGAGAGAGAGACAGAGUAAAUGUGUGUCUUUUUCCUCUCAAUGUGAUGAGAAUUGUUAUUAUAGUGACGGACGGAUCAUUGGGGAGUUCAGUAUAGUGUCAGUGUAAUAAUAAUAAUAAUGCUUGAACUGAAAAUACUUGUACUUUUUAAAAAUUGUCUCAAUCUUUAUGUUGCCAAUUACCUCAGUUUGCAGUGCAGGCAUGUUGCUAUCUCUGUUUUACCCAUUCUUUUCCAUCAUCUGUCCUCCCUGUUCAUUUUUUGUCUUUUUUGUUACAUUGAUCAUAUAUUAAAGGUAUAUGGAUCUGCAGGCCAAUCUAUGUACCAAUUUUAGAAGGAA
Carassius gibelio (silver crucian carp) is the source of this 5100-nucleotide RNA transcript. RefSeq lists it as uncharacterized. NCBI's taxonomy places the organism in Eukaryota, Metazoa, Chordata, Actinopteri, Cypriniformes, Cyprinidae. The transcript is spliced from 3 exons. The record is from RefSeq and is a predicted model, not a curated record.